CACAUCGCUGACGAGUGGCGGACGGGUGAGUAAUGCUUGGGAACUUGCCUUUGCGAGGGGGAUAACAGUUGGAAACGACUGCUAAUACCGCAUAAUGUCUACGGACCAAACGGGGCUUCGGCUCCGGCGCAAAGAGAGGCCCAAGUGAGAUUAGCUAGUUGGUAAGGUAACGGCUUACCAAGGCGACGAUCUCUAGCUGUUCUGAGAGGAAGAUCAGCCACACUGGGACUGAGACACGGCCCAGACUCCUACGGGAGGCAGCAGUGGGGAAUAUUGCACAAUGGGGGAAACCCUGAUGCAGCCAUGCCGCGUGUGUGAAGAAGGCCUUCGGGUUGUAAAGCACUUUCAGUUGUGAGGAAAAGUUAGUAGUUAAUACCUGCUAGCCGUGACGUUAACAACAGAAGAAGCACCGGCUAACUCCGUGCCAGCAGCCGCGGUAAUACGGAGGGUGCGAGCGUUAAUCGGAAUUACUGGGCGUAAAGCGCACGCAGGCGGUUUGUUAAGCUAGAUGUGAAAGCCCCGGGCUCAACCUGGGAUGGUCAUUUAGAACUGGCAGACUAGAGUCUUGGAGAGGGGAGUGGAAUUCCAGGUGUAGCGGUGAAAUGCGUAGAUAUCUGGAGGAACAUCAGUGGCGAAGGCG
This 640-nucleotide ribosomal RNA is filed under the name uncultured Gammaproteobacteria bacterium. RNAcentral's name for it is "bacterial SSU rRNA". It matches the Rfam family "Bacterial small subunit ribosomal RNA", at positions 81 to 723 of the family's 1533-position model. Lineage: Bacteria; Pseudomonadati; Pseudomonadota; Gammaproteobacteria. The record is from RNAcentral.